This 1286-nucleotide long non-coding RNA is filed under the name Homo sapiens (human). RNAcentral describes it as "HSALNT0402837". Lineage: Eukaryota; Metazoa; Chordata; Mammalia; Primates; Hominidae. The record is from RNAcentral.
CUAAGGAUGCCAAUGUGAUACAGCAGAGGAGAUGAGGUCACACUCCAUGGGGAGAUGGUCACAUAAAGCUUCUUAGAAAAUGAUUCAUCCAGUGUCGUAGCACAGAGGUGCAGAGGCAGAGAAUGUUGUGAGACACAUGUCAUGCAGUACUUGGUACCAGAGGCUGCAGAGAAGGAAAGAAACAGCUGCCCUUAACCUAGCUCUCCUUUCCACUAAUUCUUACCGUGGUGGUGAUGUGGUGAGAACCAGAUGUCCUACAUGUAAGGGGAUCUGCUGUAGGCAAAGAACUCUGGAAAAAAGAACCUGAGCGUUUUUGUGGAAGAGUGACCCAGUUGCUCUUGACCCCCUUCUGAGUGUGUCUCCAUAGUCACAAAACGGAAAAAAAACUGAGUUCUUACUUUAACCAUUUGGAUAAAAAUAAAUCUCUCUAGGGGAAAGAUAACACUAGAGUCUCCAGCUUUGUAACUUCUGGGAUGCAUCUACUGGGUCUCAUCUUCUCUUGAAAUGUAAAUAUAUAUCCCUAGUGAGGUAAAUCCCUCAGGAUGGCCCCUAACCAUGUUCUUUCUGUGAAUUAAUUUCCAGAGCUAGUUCUUAGCGUAGAGCAGAAGUCUGAGUAAAAUUUGUUGAGAAAGUUCUUACUAUGCAUAAAUAACUUUAUUUACAGCCUAACACUAUCCAUUAAAAUCAACAAGAGAAAGACAAACUAAUCCAAAAUGACCCUGCAAUCGGGGCUCUAAAACAAUGCAGGUUGACUGUAAUUGUUAAAAUGAAUUUGGAAAGUAUUUGACCUUAUCUGUUAAAAUUAAGUAUAUGCAUACCCUGUGACCAAUAAUUCUGCUACUAUCAUCCAACAGGAACACAUAAACAUAUUCAGGAAAUGUACAAAAUUGUUUAUUAAAGAAUUAUUCACAACAGCUUAAAUUGGAAGUUUUGCAGUUAUCCAUCAAGAGUGAAAUAAACACAUCAUAGCAUAUAUAUAAAUACAUGGAGUAUUAUCAAGCAAGAAGGAUAAAUGGUAUACCCAAGAGAGCUUUGAUGACUCUCCCAAAUACAUUUCUGAGUAAGAGAAGCCAUCCAGAAAAGAAUAUAUAUUGUUUAAUUCUAUUAUAAAAGUUCAAAAAUAGGUUAAAAAAGUCUAUGUUAUUAGCAAUCAGAAUAAUAAUUACUUGCAGAUGGAGCAGAUGGUAAUUUAAGGGAAUUUUAUUGUGAAAUAUGUACAAUCACUUUGUUAAAAUUAAUUAACUAUAUACUAUUUGUGUAUUACAAUAAAAAUGUUUAAUAAACUA